RNAcentral lists this long non-coding RNA (1101 nucleotides) under Gallus gallus (chicken). RNAcentral describes it as "lncRNA (ENSGALG00010012814.1)". The record is from RNAcentral. Lineage: Eukaryota; Metazoa; Chordata; Aves; Galliformes; Phasianidae.
CGUCCAUCAAACUGCUGUGAACUGUUGCCAAUGCUUAACUCCUAUAUUGAGCCUAAUUCCUUCUAUGAUUAAGGAGUGCAACUCCAAUCCAGGCAGCAUGCAACAAAACCAUUACUUGUCUGCUUUAUGGGUCCAAGGAUAAUCUCUAAUAUUUAUUCCUUUAUUGAAUCCACAGUCUGGUAAAUUAAUGAUUUACUUUAUAGGAAGAAGUUGCUAAGAGGAUUUUCCUAAGAAGUAUUUGCCUAAAGCUCCUACGGUGAAGUCUGAAUGGGAAGAAAGUACAGAAGGGAAAGUGUUCUCCUACCUAAGGUAUUUACACAGUCCCAUUAUCAUCCUAUUUUGUGACAGAUGACAUUAAAAGACUCAGUAGCAGUAAUCAACUCCAAAAGCUAGAGAAAUCAGGUAAUUUACCAGGAAAACAGCACUAGGGGAAACGGCACCCCAAAGACUUUCACACUGAAGCAUGUAUCUGUUGGCAUUUCCUUGGAAGAGACAGCAGUAAGUCAAAUUCCAGAGAACUCCCCCACUGAGGAGCUUUUUCCCCUGCACCAGUUCAUUACCAGCGUUUCAGUACUAACUGCUGUGUACACCUGCAAUGCCUCAGCAGCUAUACAGCACCCCCCAGUUUCUGAGCUCACAUAACAGGAGGACUGCAAAGAUUGCCAUGUAUAUAUAGCUGUAUUUGAGAUGGCCUACAUAAUUAUGUAUCCUUACUCAUGACAGACAAAGCAGUUGCCAAAGCCAGCAUAGGCCACAAAGAGGUCAGUCCUUCUGCUGUUUGGUCCCUGUGCCUGUGGUACAGCUCCGUGUUGCCACACAGCACACAUUUUGUGUGCAGAAUCUCAGAAAUCUGUGGCAUGCACUCACUUUUAAAAUACGAUGUAUACCUUGUACACAGAUCUGCAGCGUAGUGUCUCAGAUUCUCAGUUCUAAUUUAAACUUCAUAUCAGAAAAAUACUGUGUAAAGACCCCAAGAAUCUUCAUUAAAAUCAAACCUGGUUCCCAUUGUCAAGCUUUAAAUGUCAGCCUUGCAUUUUAUUUGAAACACUUUCUUGAACAAAGGACACUCUUCUUAUUACCAAAAAAAAAAAAUUAACCUGA